This 4592-nucleotide unclassified non-coding RNA is filed under the name Hevea brasiliensis (rubber tree). The record is from RNAcentral. Lineage: Eukaryota; Viridiplantae; Streptophyta; Magnoliopsida; Malpighiales; Euphorbiaceae.
CUUGACCAAUCGACUUGUCUCAGCAGCAGAUGCUAAGGGGCAUAAACAGGCCCAGGACUGCACUCAUUUUCAACGUAUAACAGAAAUUUAUUGAUUUCAUGCCACGAGAAGAACGAUAACCCAACCCAAGAAAACAACAUUUGUCGCCACCAGCACACAAACCUCUGGCAAUUGCUUUUCUUCUGCUCUCUUCCCAUCGGCAACUCCUCUCCCUCUCUCUUUCUGAAUGUGUUUCUUUUGGCGGGAGGUGGGACCAUCUCGAUCAAAAUCUCGUCUUUCGCAAGUCCCUUUCUCAUAAAUCCUUCACACCCAACCGUCUCCCUACGAGCCGGCUCCUCCUCCUCCACCCUCACUCCCUUUUCCUUCUCCUGCUUUCUUUUUCACUGUGAAUAUCUCUCUCAUUUUCUACUUUCACUUCUCCUCUAAGGCUCUAACUUAGUACUCCACAAAAUCCCACUAAGAAACAAGUCACGAAGAGCAUGGGAAAGGACCUCUCUUUAGCACUGCUCUGUUUCUGUUUCUUCUUCUUUUAUUUCCUAACCACCAAACUAACUCUUUCUCUUUCUCCUGAUGGCCUCUCCCUUCUCUCUUUAAAAUCCGCCGUCGACCAACCUUCUGGGGAUUCCCCUUUCGCCGACUGGAAUGAUGAAGACCCCACCCCUUGCCUCUGGACUGGCAUUUCCUGCAUGAACGUAUCCGGAUUCCCCCACCCACGUGUCGUCGGAAUCUCUAUCACCAGUCAGAAUCUAUGCGGGUAUAUCCCUUCUGAGCUGGGAAAUCUAGUUUAUCUCCGGCGACUCAAUCUUCAUAAUAAUAACUUUUAUGGGUCGAUCCCGGCUGAGCUCUUUAACGCCACUGCACUUCACAGCCUCAUCCUUUACGGUAAUAAUCUUUCAGGUCCUCUUCCUCUCUCGAUCUGCAACCUCCCGAGACUCCAAAACCUCGAUCUUGCAAACAAUUCUCUCUCGGGUCCUUUACCGGAGGACUUAAACAAUUGCAACCAGUUGCAGAGGCUGAUUUUAGCGCGAAAUAAAUUCUCCGGUGAAAUUCCGGCGGGAAUUUGGCCAGAAUUGGACAAUUUAGUUCAGCUUGAUCUUUCGUCUAACGAGUUCAAUGGAUCGAUACCCAAUGAUCUUGGCGAACUCAAGUCUCUGUCUAAUACCUUGAAUCUCUCUUUCAAUCAAUUAUCUGGUAGAAUCCCAAAAUCUCUGGGAAAUUUGCCCGUCACCGUGAGUUUUGAUCUGCGAAACAAUAAUUUAACAGGCGAAAUACCUCAAACAGGGUCUUUUGCUAACCAAGGACCAACUGCUUUCCUGAACAAUCCUCUGUUAUGCGGGUUCCCUCUCCAGAAAUCGUGUAAGGACUUUACAGAGAGCUCACCAGCGAGGCAUAAUUCGACACCAGAAUCCCGUGAUAACCCUAAGAAAGGCUUAAGUUCUGGGUUGAUCAUACUUGUAUCAGUAGCUGACGCAGCUGUUGUAGCGUUCAUUGGUCUAGUAAUAGUCUAUGUCUACUGGAAAAAGAAAGAUGAUUCUAAUAACUGUAGUUGCACAGGGAAGACCAAACUUGGCGGGAACGAAAUAUCGCGUGCCUGCGGGCUCUGUUCCUGCGUCAAUGACUUCGGAAAUGAGGACUCGGAGUCAGAAGAUGUAGAGGAAGCAGAGAGAGGAGAAGGAGAAGGUGAGCUGGUGGCAAUUGACAAAGGUUUUAGCUUUGAGCUUGACGAGCUGCUUCGAGCUUCAGCUUAUGUGUUGGGGAAAAGUGGGUUGGGAAUCGUAUAUAAGGUGGUGCUCGGAAAUGGGGUUCCGGUGGCAGUGAGGAGGCUCGGCGAGGGAGGAGAGCAGAGGUAUAAAGAGUUUGUGGCUGAAGUGCAGGCUAUUGGGAAGGUUAAGCAUCCAAAUAUAGUGAAAUUAAGAGCUUAUUAUUGGGCCCCUGAUGAGAAACUUCUUAUCAGUGAUUUCAUCUCCAAUGGCAACUUGGCUACUGCUCUUAGAGGUCAGUUUAGUUAUUAUUUUUUCCCUUUGUUUCUCUCAUUACAGUCCUUGUAGUUUCUGGUUCUUGUGAAACUGUGGUGGUGCUCUUUCUUAAUGGCUUAGUUGGUGGGAAUUGGGUAGAAGACAAAUGGGCUUAAGUACGUUACAAUCAAAAUUGACCUUUUCUUUAGCAGGAGAGUGGAGACUCAAAGAUAGGUUUACGAGGUGGGUGACAUGCCUUUAGUAAUUGAAUAAGUUGGUGAAAAUAGACCUAAUUAGUGGACAUAGAGUUGGCCAUUAUAGUAUCAACACUGUGUGCAGCAUGUGUGGUGUGGCCUACCGGCUAUGAUUUACUGCAACCACCCAUGCUCUCAUCCUAACUCUACACCCUUUUUUCUCCAUGCGCGUUGUGUGCUCUCGCUUUCCCUUCUUAACGGUACUAUACAAAUGUCUUGCAAAAUUAAUGUCAAUAUUUACACAUCACACUAAUCAUCCUUAUCAAUAAGUUUUAAUUUUAUUUUUUUAAAAAAACUAAUGAUUUAAUGCAUAUUAUUACUCCUAGUGGAUUAGAGUCAUGGGGGUUGGAGAUAAAUGAUUGGAGUGAAUAUUAAUCAUAUAAAUUCCAAAGUUUAUUGUGGGAUCCUGGAGUUAGGUAGUAGGCAUCAUUGGUUGUGACUGAGUGAGAUCUACCAGAAACGCUGGUUGGCCCCUCUUUCACUGGCCUGACCAUGCAAGGGAUAGAUUGCUGAAUUGUUGAUGAUUAAAGGACUCGAGCGCUUCAGAUCUCUCAUCACAAGAUCAUACAUGGGUCUGAAAAAUACCCAUCUAGAGUUCGAAUUGGAGACCUCAGCUCUAGAAAUGAAUUCAACAUUACUUAAUCAAAACUCAUUGGUCACCACCAAUUACUCAUGUUAUUCAGUAAAUGCUGCUUCCAGGCUGUAGAUAAAUGGUCCCCUGCCGAUAAUGUUCAUCCUCCUUUGUUAAUCUUCCUUCCAUAAUCUAAUUACAUUACACCUGGAUUUUGGAUUUUUUCGUUUAAAGGUACUUUAUGAAGGUUCCUUUGUAUUCUUCCUCUUCACUUUUUUCUCUGAAUUUUUAGCUUUUCUUUUUCUACUUUCUGUUCUUCCUUUCAAGUUCCAUGUCUUUUGUGUUUGAGGGAAAACAUUUUAAAAAAAAAACUUAGUUUAAAUAUAAUGAUUUUCUUAAAAAAAAAAAACUGAGUAUCAUAUGUAGAUGCAGUGAUCAAGAGCUUGUCCCUUAGUAUAGAAAUGUGGUUAGGUGGCUGUUGCUUUUAGGGUCCCCUUUGACGGAUUUGGACCACAUUAUCUUCAUAUUUCUCUCACUGAGUCUCACCGCUCAAGUUGUCUUGACUAGUUGCUUGUUGCUGACAGAAGGGCUCAUCUGUGUGAGGUGAGAGCACACUGUGAGUGAUUAGCACAGGCUUCAUGAAGCUAAGGAUUGUUUGUCUAGGCAGCAUAGCAAACAUUUAAUAACAACUUUGUCUGCUUGUCUUUUUGGUUUCUUUUUUGUUUUUAGGGAAGAUACUGAGUAGAAGUACAACAUGAUCUUAUAAUUUAGAGACAAACUAGUCAAGAUUAAAGUACAUUUACAAACACAGUAAUUAAACAAGCAAACUGUUAUUAAAAAUUGACUCAUUUUAUUCUACAGGGAGAAGUGGUCAGCCAUCGUCCAGUCUGUCAUGGGCAACCAGGCUGAGAAUUGCCAAGGGAACAGCCAGGGGCUUAGCCUACCUCCAUGAAUGCAGUCCAAGAAAAUUCGUCCAUGGGGACAUCAAACCAUCCAACAUCCUCCUCGACAACGAAUUCCAGGCUUAUAUUUCUGAUUUUGGUCUAAGCAGACUAAUCAAUAUCACUGGUAACAAUCCUUCUUCCUCAGGUGGAUUUAUUGGUGGAGCUUUACCUUACGUAAAAUCAGUCCAAACCGAGCGAACCAACAAUUACUGUGCUCCAGAAGCUCGUGUUCCUGGCAACAGACCUACCCAGAAAUGGGAUGUGUAUUCAUUUGGAGUUGUCUUGCUUGAACUGCUGACAGGGAAAUCUCCUGAACUUUCACCAACCACAUCAACUUCUAUAGAAAUUCCAGACUUGGUAAGGUGGGUAAGGAAAGGGUUUGAAGAAGAGAACCCAUUAUCAGAUAUGGUAGACCCAAUGUUGCUCCAAGAAGUGCAUGCCAAGAAGGAGGUACUAGCAGUUUUCCAUGUUGCUCUUGCCUGCACUGAAUCAGACCUUGAGGUUCGACCGAGGAUGAAAAAUGUGUCUGAAAAUCUCGAGAGGAUCGGAACAUAGAAAAAAACAGAAAGAAGGCUUGAAAGUUUCUUGAUUUUGCAAAUUGCAAUGAGCUUUCCAGUUUUGCCAUGGCGAAUUUUUUGAGAGGUUGAGGUAGCUUAAAGAUAGCUUCAGCCACCCAAUUAACUUCGAUUUCCAAUGACUAAAGAAUCAGAUCCAAAAUUUUUGGUAGCAUAAUUGGGUAUAAAUUGUUUUUCUUUUGUGGGGUAAGUAAUAAGUAGCUUGUAUUUGUAAUUUAAAUUUCCAUCCCAUUCCCUUGGGAUGUGUUGAAAUAAAAUGUCGCCUUUUGUCAUCGGGUGUUUAGAUAUGUUUA